RNAcentral lists this ribosomal RNA (400 nucleotides) under uncultured bacterium. RNAcentral's name for it is "bacterial SSU rRNA". It matches the Rfam family "Bacterial small subunit ribosomal RNA", at positions 975 to 1375 of the family's 1533-position model. The record is from RNAcentral.
CUACCCUUGACAUGUCCGGAAGCCCGGUGAGAGCUGGGUGUGCCCGAAAGGGAACCGGAACACAGGUGCUGCAUGGCUGUCGUCAGCUCGUGUCGUGAGAUGUUGGGUUAAGUCCCGCAACGAGCGCAACCCUUGUCAUUAGUUGCUACAUUCAGUUGGGCACUCUAAUGAGACUGCCGGUGACAAACCGGAGGAAGGUGGGGAUGACGUCAAGUCCUCAUGGCCCUUAUGGGUAGGGCUUCACACGUAAUACAAUGGCGCGUACAGAGGGUUGCCAAGGGGUGACCUGGAGCCAAUCCCACAAAGCGCGUCGUAGUCCGGAUUGCAGUCUGCAACUCGACUGCAUGAAGUCGGAAUCGCUAGUAAUCGCGGAUCAGCAUGUCGCGGUGAAUACGUUCCC